CCUACGGGCGGCUGCAGUGGGGAAUAUUGGACAAUGGGGGGAACCCUGAUCCAGCCAUGCCGCGUGUGUGAAGAAGGCCCUCGGGUUGUAAAGCACUUUCAGUGAGGAAGAACGCCUGGUGGUUAAUACCCAUCAGGAAAGACAUCACUCACAGAAGAAGCACCGGCUAACUCCGUGCCAGCAGCCGCGGUAAUACGGCAGGGUGCGAGCGUUAAUCGGAAUUACUGGGCGUAAAGCGCGCGUAGGUGGCUUGAUAAGCCGGUUGUGAAAGCCCCGGGCUCAACCUGGGAACGGCAUCCGGAACUGUCAAGCUAGAGUGCAGGAGAGGAAGGUAGAAUUCCCGGUGUAGCGGUGAAAUGCGUAGAGAUCGGGAGGAAUACCAGUGGCGAAGGCGGCCUUCUGGACUGACACUGACACUGAGGUGCGAAAGCGUGGGUAGCAAACAGGAUUAGAUACCCUAGUAGUC
RNAcentral lists this ribosomal RNA (466 nucleotides) under Vreelandella stevensii. RNAcentral's name for it is "partial 16S ribosomal RNA". It matches the Rfam family "Bacterial small subunit ribosomal RNA", at positions 338 to 795 of the family's 1533-position model. The record is from RNAcentral. Lineage: Bacteria; Pseudomonadati; Pseudomonadota; Gammaproteobacteria; Oceanospirillales; Halomonadaceae.